GACGAACGCUGGCGGUGUGCUUAACACAUGCAAGUCGAACGGUAAGGCCCUUUCGGGGGUACACGAGUGGCGAACGGGUGAGUAACACGUGAGUAACCUGCCCUCAUCUCUGGGAUAACAGUCGGAAACGGUUGCUAAUACUGGAUAUGAGCUUGCAAGGCAUCUUGUGGGGUGGAAAGAUUUUUUUUGGUUGGGGAUGGACUCGCGGCCUAUCAGCUUGUUGGUGAGGUAGUGGCUCACCAAGGCUUCGACGGGUAGCCGGCCUGAGAGGGCGACCGGCCACAUUGGGACUGAGAUACGGCCCAAACUCCUACGGGAGGCAGCAGUGGGGAAUAUUGCACAAUGGACGGAAGUCUGAUGCAGCAACGCCGCGUGCGGGAUGACGGCCUUCGGGUUGUAAACCGCUUUCAAUUGUGACGAAGCUUUUUUGUGACGGUAGCAGUAGAAGAAGCACCGGCUAACUACGUG
Molecule: ribosomal RNA, 468 nt
Filed under: uncultured bacterium
Lineage: Bacteria
Description: partial 16S ribosomal RNA
Rfam family: Bacterial small subunit ribosomal RNA
Source: RNAcentral